Panicum virgatum (switchgrass) is the source of this 1199-nucleotide long non-coding RNA. RefSeq lists it as uncharacterized. NCBI's taxonomy places the organism in Eukaryota, Viridiplantae, Streptophyta, Magnoliopsida, Poales, Poaceae. The record is from RefSeq and is a predicted model, not a curated record. The transcript has 3 exons.
UGUUCGUUACAGAGGUCAGCUCUUUGUCGAUAGAAUCAAAGAGCUGAUUAAGUACAAAGGAUUCCAGGUAAAAGUAUCAUUUUGUUCUUCGAGAAAAGAAAGUAAUCAGACACUGCUUAAGAAAAAAAGUUUUUUACUUUAAAUAUGCCAGAUUGCCAGUCUCAGUUAGCCCCUUGCUCUGUAUGCUUGUUGUACGACCUAUCUGCGACUAUGCAUAUGCAUAAAGGACCUACGCAAAUCGCAAAAUCCAGCACAAGGAUUUGGAUCGAUGCAUGACAACAGCAGUCUUCUUGGUUUUGUAACAUUAUCCAGUAGAUUUCUUAGCAUUUUAUCUUGGGCAUACCGUUACUUGGCCUAUUUCAAUGGGUAUAUUUUAGUUUUCAAUCUGUUCUGAUUACACAUUUGCAGAAAUUAAUACUCCCUCUUCCACAACUAUUGUGCAAAUUUGGAUUGUUUGCACCCAAAUUUUCGAUAACAUAUGCAUGAGAGUUUCAUUUUGUGGCCAUAGAAUAUUUAUCUGAUGGGAAUAUUGUGCUUACAGAUCGCACCGGCUGAGCUUGAAGGGCUUCUUCUGUCUCAUCCAGAAAUUCAUGAUGCUGUUGUUAUCCCGUUCCCUGACACUGAAGCUGGGGAAGUUCCUGUUGCCUAUGUUGUGCGAUCACCAAAAAGUUCCUUGAGUGAAGCUGAUGUCCAGAAUUUUAUAGAAAAGCAGGUCGCGUACUACAAAAGAUUGGGGAGGGUUACCUUUGUGGACAGUGUGCCAAAAUCUCCCUCAGGAAAGAUUCUGAGAAGAGAGCUGAUCCGCCAACAAGUGAGACAGUAGUGCUCGGGCUGCUUGCAUCUCCGGACGCAGGGUGAUGUGUGAAAACUGCGAAGCAAUCUAGGCGACGGACCGAUGGAAACAAUCGCAUCCUGCACUCGGAUGGGAUGAUCGCAAGAAGAUGUUUUUUUGAAAUAUUUCGCAAGAAGAUGUUUUAAACGCCUGGGUGCUUGGUCUGUUGUCAGUUGUCACUCCCAAAACUUUACUGACAAGUUGGACGCACUCUUUAGCAUCCACAUCACUUGUUGUAUUAAUAUACAGUAUUAUGUAAAGAAAGGGGUAAAAUAAAAGGUACUCGUCCUGAUCCAAUCACCAACCAGCCAGCCUCUAGAAUCAAGAGCACUGCAUCGACAGAUCCAGCGGAAAGAGUCAGCAAUGG